ACCGAAUAGAUACCCCGGUAGUCCACGCCGUAAACUAUGAACGCUAGCCGUUGGCGAGCUUGCUCGUCAGUGGCGCAGCUAACGCAUUAAGCGUUCCGCCUGGGGAGUACGGCCGCAAGGUUGAAACUCAAAGAAAUUGACGGGGGCCCGCACAAGCGGUGGAGCAUGUGGUUUAAUUCGACGCAACGCGCAGAACCUUACCAGGGUUUGACAUCCCGAGACCGCUGCUGAAAGGCAGUUUCCCGCAAGGGCUCGGAGACAGGUGCUGCAUGGCUGUCGUCAGCUCGUGUCGUGAGAUGUUGGGUUAAAGUCCCGCAACGAGCGCAACCCUCGCCUUUAGUUGCCAUCAUUAAGUUGGGCACUCUAGAGGGACCGCCGGCGACAAGCCGGAGGAAGGUGGGGAUGACGUCAAGUCCUCAUGGCCCUUACACCCUGGGCUACACACGUGCUACAAUGGCGGUGACAGUGAGCAGCUAACUCGCGAGAGUAUGCUAAUCUCCAAAAACCGG
Molecule: ribosomal RNA, 509 nt
Filed under: uncultured bacterium
Lineage: Bacteria
Description: bacterial SSU rRNA
Rfam family: Bacterial small subunit ribosomal RNA
Source: RNAcentral